This is a long non-coding RNA of Serinus canaria (Common canary), 317 nucleotides long. RefSeq lists it as uncharacterized. The record is from RefSeq and is a predicted model, not a curated record. Lineage: Eukaryota; Metazoa; Chordata; Aves; Passeriformes; Fringillidae. The transcript is spliced from 3 exons.
CCUCCAUCCACCAAGGAGAACAUCCAGCUCCCAGUGCCAUAGCUGGAUUCACCUGGAUGUUUCAAAGAACAAAUUUUAGGACCACUGAAAGAAAAAGAGCUGUGGGACAAGAUGAGAAAAAAGCCAGUCAUACCUCUGUGCAGAAGAACACACAUCUUGCAUGCCUCCAUAUGAGCUAAAGAAGACACUUGAAAGAUGAUUGAAGAUCUGUAUAUACAAGCAAAUAUGUUUCCCUUUAGGAAAAAAAAAAUAAUCAGGGAAAAACUAAAAUGAGAAGGGUACAGCCCUUAAUACUUACAGAGAACAAAUAAACUCGU